GUAGGCCUACGGGGGGCAGCAGUCGAGAAUCAUUCACAAUGGGGGAAACCCUGAUGGUGCGACGCCGCGUGGGGGAAUGAAGGUCUUCGGAUUGUAAACCCCUGUCAUGUGGGAGCAGAUUAAAAAGAUAGUACCACAAGAGGAAGAGACGGCUAACUCUGUGCCAGCAGCCGCGGUAAUACAGAGGUCUCAAGCGUUGUUCGGAAUCACUGGGCGUAAAGCGUGCGUAGGCUGUUUCGUAAGUCGUGUGUGAAAGGCGCGGGCUCAACCCGCGGCAGGCAAAUG
RNAcentral lists this ribosomal RNA (285 nucleotides) under uncultured bacterium. Its description in RNAcentral is "partial 16S ribosomal RNA". It matches the Rfam family "Bacterial small subunit ribosomal RNA", at positions 333 to 629 of the family's 1533-position model. The record is from RNAcentral.